AUUGAACGCUGGCGGCAGGCCUAACACAUGCAAGUCGAACGGUAGCACAGAGAGCUUGCUCUCGGGUGCCGAGUGGCGGACGGGUGAGUAAUGUCUGGGAAACUGCCUGAUGGAGGGGGAUAACUACUGGAAACGGUAGCUAAUACCGCAUAACGUCGCAAGACCACAGAGGGGGACCUUCGGGCCUCUUGCCAUCAGAUGUGCCCAGAUGGGAUUAGCUAGUAGGUGGGGUAACGGCUCACCUAGGCGACGAUCCCUAGCUGGUCUGAGAGGAUGACCAGCCACACUGGAACUGAGACACGGUCCAGACUCCUACGGGAGGCAGCAGUGGGGAAUAUUGCACAAUGGGCGCAAGCCUGAUGCAGCCAUGCCGCGUGUAUGAAGAAGGCCUUCGGGUUGUAAAGUACUUUCAGCGGGGAGGAAGGCGAUAAGGUUAAUAACCUUGUCGAUUGACGUUACCCGCAGAAGAAGCACCGGCUAACUCCGUG
Molecule: ribosomal RNA, 488 nt
Filed under: uncultured bacterium
Lineage: Bacteria
Description: partial 16S ribosomal RNA
Rfam family: Bacterial small subunit ribosomal RNA
Source: RNAcentral